GCCGGUGUAGCUCAGCUGGUAGAGCAACUGAUUUGUAAUCAGUAGGUCGCGGGUUCAAGUCCCGCCGCCGGCC
Molecule: transfer RNA, 73 nt
Filed under: Allostigmatella aurantiaca
Lineage: Bacteria; Pseudomonadati; Myxococcota; Myxococcia; Myxococcales; Archangiaceae
Also listed under: 7 other names
Description: Stigmatella aurantiaca tRNA
Rfam family: tRNA
About the family: Transfer RNA (tRNA) molecules are approximately 80 nucleotides in length. Their secondary structure includes four short double-helical elements and three loops (D, anti-codon, and T loops).
Source: Rfam by way of RNAcentral